This 1100-nucleotide ribosomal RNA is filed under the name uncultured bacterium. RNAcentral's name for it is "bacterial SSU rRNA". It matches the Rfam family "Bacterial small subunit ribosomal RNA", at positions 68 to 1173 of the family's 1533-position model. The record is from RNAcentral.
GGGAGUUCUUCGGACAAACCUAGCGGCGGACGGGGAGAAACGCGUGGGUAACCUGCCUCAGUGAGGGGGAUAGCCUUCCGAAAGGAAGAUUAAUACCGCAUAAUAUCUGGUGAUCGCAUGAUCAUUUGAUUAAAGGAGUAAUCCGCACUGAGAUGGACCCGCGGCGCAUUAGCUAGUUGGUGAGGUAACGGCUCACCAAGGCCACGAUGCGUAGCCGACCUGAGAGGGUGAUCGGCCACAUUGGAACUGAGAUACGGUCCAGACUCCUACGGGAGGCAGCAGUGGGGAAUAUUGCACAAUGGGCGACGAAGCCUGAUGCAGCAACGCCGCGUGAGUGAUGAAGGCCUUCGGGUUGUAAAGCUCUGUCUUUGGGGACGAUAAUGAUUUUUUUUUUAGGAGGAAGCCACGGCUAACUACGUGCCAGCAGCCGCGGUAAUACGUAGGUGGCAAGCGUUGUCCGGAUUUACUGGGCGUAAAGGAUGCGUAGGUGGAUAUGCAAGUCAGAUGUGAAAUACCCGGGCUUAACUCGGGUGCUGCAUUUGAAACUAUAUAUCUAGAGUGCAGGGAGAGGUAAGUGGGAAUUCCUAGUGUAGCGGUGAAAUGCGUAGAGAUUAGGAAGAACACCAGUGGGCGAAGGCGACUUACUGGGACUGUAACUGACACUGAAGGCAUGAAAGCGUGGGGAGCAAACAGGAUUAGAUACCCUGGUAGUCCACGCCGUAAAUUAUGGGUAACUAGGUGUAGGGGGGUAUCGACUCCCCUCUGUGCCGCAGUUAACACAAUAAGUACCCCGCCUGGGGGAAGUACGGUCGCCAAGAUUAAAACUCAAAAGGAAUUGACGGGGGACCCGCACAAGCAGCGGAGCAUGUGGUUUAAUUCUGAAGCAACGCGAAGAACCUUACCUAGACUUGACAUCCCCCUGCAUAACCUAGAGAUAGGCGAAGUCUCUCUUCGGGCACAGGGUGACAGGUGGUCAGCAUGGUUGUCCUUCAGCUCGUGUCGCGAGAUGUUGGGUUAAAGUCCCGCAACCAGGCGCUACCCUCGUCCGUCGGUUUAUCGGUGGUCCGAGGAAACUGCCCACGAUCACCGUGGAGCGAAGG